AUGGAUCGAAUGCAUCCUUACAUUAGCAGAUUCCCGUCGUUGCAUUUCUAUGAAAACAAACUGCUGGAUGGUGCUCAGAAGGCUGAGAAAUCAGAUCCUUUCCAUGAUCACCGUUGUCUUGGUCCAUACAUGUUCUUUGAUAUUGCCGAUGGUCGUGAGCAUGCUGGAACAAGUGCUGCUGCACAAUCACUCUCUAAUCAAUUUGAAGCUGGUGCAGCACUUGAAAUACUGUCAUUUUUAAAGAACAAAUAUCCAACAGAUUUCUCCUGUAGAAAGAUAGGGACCAUAACUUAUGGCUAUGUUGGGGAAGAGUUCUUGCGGGUGUGA
Molecule: ribosomal RNA, 327 nt
Filed under: Triticum aestivum (bread wheat)
Lineage: Eukaryota; Viridiplantae; Streptophyta; Magnoliopsida; Poales; Poaceae
Description: partial small subunit ribosomal RNA
Source: RNAcentral